This 72-nucleotide transfer RNA is filed under the name Phrynosoma platyrhinos (Desert horned lizard). Its description in RNAcentral is "tRNA-OTHER". Lineage: Eukaryota; Metazoa; Chordata; Lepidosauria; Squamata; Phrynosomatidae. The record is from RNAcentral.
AUCUAAGUGGUGUAGUGGUUUGAGCACUGGACUAGGACUCUGGAGACCAGAGUUCGAAUCCCAGCAUGGCCA